This 433-nucleotide ribosomal RNA is filed under the name uncultured bacterium. RNAcentral describes it as "partial 16S ribosomal RNA". It matches the Rfam family "Bacterial small subunit ribosomal RNA", at positions 29 to 507 of the family's 1533-position model. The record is from RNAcentral.
AACGAACGCUGGCGGCAUGCCUAACACAUGCAAGUCGAACGAAGGCUUCGGCCUUAGUGGCGCACGGGUGCGUAACGCGUGGGAAUCUGCCCUUUGGUUCGGAAUAACAGCUGGAAACGGCUGCUAAUACCGGAUGAUGACGAAAGUCCAAAGAUUUAUCGCCAGAGGAUGAGCCCGCGUUGGAUUAGGUAGUUGGUGGGGUAAAGGCCUACCAAGCCGACGAUCCAUAGCUGGUCUGAGAGGAUGAUCAGCCACACUGGGACUGAGACACGGCCCAGACUCCUACGGGAGGCAGCAGUGGGGAAUAUUGGACAAUGGGCGCAAGCCUGAUCCAGCAAUGCCGCGUGAGUGAUGAAGGCCCUAGGGUUGUAAAGCUCUUUUACCCGGGAAGAUAAUGGCUGUACCGGGAGAAUAAGCCCCGGCUAACUCCGUG